GCUCCUGUAAUCUAGCCCGGUCAAAAGAGUUUACAGUCUCGAGUCUCGAGUCUUGAACUAUUUACUGAUAGGAUGUCAGACUCUCACUCUGAAUACCCGAGUUCAAAUCUCGGCAGGAGCG
Molecule: transfer RNA, 121 nt
Filed under: Microcaldota archaeon
Lineage: Archaea; Nanobdellati; Microcaldota
Description: tRNA-Glu
Rfam family: tRNA (bases 60-113)
Source: RNAcentral